This 131-nucleotide small nucleolar RNA is filed under the name Mus caroli (Ryukyu mouse). RNAcentral describes it as "snoRNA (MGP_CAROLIEiJ_G0036058.1)". It matches the Rfam family "Small nucleolar RNA SNORA17". Rfam says of the family: snoRNA ACA 17 belongs to the H/ACA family of snoRNAs and is predicted to guide pseudouridylation of the 28S rRNA at positions U4659 and U4598. Lineage: Eukaryota; Metazoa; Chordata; Mammalia; Rodentia; Muridae. The record is from RNAcentral.
ACCAUGAAGUAUUGCAGGUGUGGCUGCGGUAUCACACGUGCAUCCCUAGGUGGCAGGGAGGAAUGAGAGAGGCUAUGUCUACACUCAGUGUUCUGACCUAGGAACAUCUGAAUGAUUAGCAACUUAAAAUU